AAAAAACGAUGCCUACGUGUGGUGUUAAAGUUCGGUUCUAAAACGAAGAAUGCAAUUGAUGAAAACAAGAAUGCUCAGGUUAAUGUGGAGUUAUUCCACUCUCCCCACCCCACUCCCUACCUUGAAACCCCGAGGAAGAGAGAGAGAGAAUAAGCUCUGAAGAGAAGAACAGACCAUUACAAACAGCUAGUGAUUUUUAAAAUAUCUCUUACGAAUACCAAAAAGAAACCUGGAACAUUGGAUUAACCUCAUCUACCCUUCUACUAUAUGUAUCCCACCCCUAUUUCUACAUAUUUCCUUCCUUAAGCUCUAUUUACAUGUGGGAAAGUUCAAGGGUCCCAGCUAUCAACGUUGGUAGUGGCAUGGCCCCAAACAUUGACUUCUAAGCUCCAAUUUCUUAGAGCCGGGUGAGCUAAUGGGCUUUGUGGACCGUUUGGAGAGCUCUGUGAGCCUUCCUCCUUCUGCCUGCUUUCCUCCUUUCACUCCCCUCCUCAGGCCUGUUAUUCCUACUUUUCCUCAACUCACUUUCCUCCCUCCUCCCCUCUUCCUCCCUCCUGCUGCUCGCACCCCCCCCCUCCUCCUCCAUCUAUUCCUCUCCCUCACUCCAUUCCUCCACCUACUCCUCCCCGUUUCUCCCCCCACAACCCCCCUUCGCAUCACCACUUAUAAUGGCACACAAGGGCUCCCUCUGAGGUGGACGGCCCGAUGCAUAGGGAGUCCCUGACCCCGUGACGUUUGGGAACAAGUGGAACUCGUGCAGAGGCAUCCAGGUAUUUCCAGAGACUGACGAGCGAGGUCUGCAGUCGCUUCCUAACAGCAGAUUAGCUCUAAAAGAUACAACUGGCCAAAUGGAAUACGUUUGUCCUUUCCUAUAGGGCAGAACUAUCAAUCACAAUGAAGCAAGUAUAAUCCCCUGGCCUUCUCUUCUCUACCGGUCUGUUUGAAAUCAAUGUGGAUAAUCUCAAAAUAACAGUGCCUCUCUUACUGGAUGGCAUCGAGGUGGAUUGCUUCAACAGCUCAGUCUUCUCAUCAAGGAUCCAAGUUCUUUGAGCUUCUCCACUCUGCUGCCUACAACAUCAGCUUUACACACAGGUUGAUUUUCUUUAUGAUUGUGAGGUAACUGCUAUGUGUUUUGUUCUUGUCAUGUGUGUGUGUAUGUGACACACACACACAGAGGAUUUCUCUGUGAAUACGUGAAUUAAACUGGGAUAAUUGAGGAAAGAGGAGAAAGGAAGAGAGGAUGCUGGGUGAUCAUCCGUGUCCAACACAGGAAAGCAAUGUAACAUAAUGAUAAAUAUUUUUGGAUAGCACAUUUUAAUAAAGUCUGACUCCACUAAAUUAAUAUUACUUCGAGCAAGAUUUAAAACCGUGUUGAAAAAAAUUCCCAUUUCCUAAUUCUUACUUCCUUUUUGAAAUUCAGUUAUGAUCACUUAACAUGGAGACUCUAGAUUCUGAAUUAUACAGCUGCAAACUGGAAUAUUUAUUUACUUAUUUAUUUAGUACAUAAGCAUGUGUGAAAGUGGGGAAGGGGCAGAGAGAGGGACAGAGAAUC
Leopardus geoffroyi (Geoffroy's cat) is the source of this 1552-nucleotide long non-coding RNA. RefSeq lists it as uncharacterized. Lineage: Eukaryota; Metazoa; Chordata; Mammalia; Carnivora; Felidae. The transcript has 5 exons. The record is from RefSeq and is a predicted model, not a curated record.